AGGACGAACGCUGGCGGCGUGCUUAACACAUGCAAGUCGAGCGGUAAGGCCCCUUCGGGGGUACACGAGCGGCGAACGGGUGAGUAACACGUGAGCAACCUACCCUCAACUUUGGGAUAAGCCUCGGAAACGGGGUCUAAUACCGAAUAUCACUUCCUGCUUCAUGGUGGGGGGUUGAAAGUUCUGGCGGUUGGGGAUGGGCUCGCGGCCUAUCAGCUUGUUGGUGGGGUAAUGGCCUACCAAGGCUUCGACGGGUAGCCGGCCUGAGAGGGCGACCGGCCACACUGGGACUGAGACACGGCCCAGACUCCUACGGGAGGCAGCAGUGGGGAAUAUUGCGCAAUGGACGAAAGUCUGACGCAGCAACGCCGCGUGAGGGAUGACGGCCUUCGGGUUGUAAACCUCUUUCAGCAGGGACGAAGCGAGAGUGACGGUACCUGCAGAAGAAGGACCGGCCAACUACGUGCCAGCAGCCGC
Molecule: ribosomal RNA, 477 nt
Filed under: uncultured bacterium
Lineage: Bacteria
Description: SSU rRNA
Rfam family: Bacterial small subunit ribosomal RNA
Source: RNAcentral